UUGGUCCUUCGGGGUAGGGUGAAAUUCCCAACCGGCGGUGAUGAAGUUCAUACUUCUAAGCCCGUGACCCGUUUUACAAAUCGUAAAACGGUGGAUUUGGUGAAAAUCCAAAGCCGACAGUAAAGUCUGGAUGGGAGAAGGAAUUA
RNAcentral lists this non-coding RNA (146 nucleotides) under Anaerobacillus alkalilacustris. RNAcentral describes it as "FMN sequence". It matches the Rfam family "FMN riboswitch aptamer (RFN element)". From Rfam's summary of the family: The RFN element is a highly conserved domain that is found frequently in the 5'-untranslated regions of prokaryotic mRNAs that encode for flavin mononucleotide (FMN) biosynthesis and transport proteins. This element is a metabolite-dependent riboswitch that directly binds FMN in the absence of proteins. Lineage: Bacteria; Bacillati; Bacillota; Bacilli; Caryophanales; Bacillaceae. The record is from RNAcentral.